This 492-nucleotide ribosomal RNA is filed under the name uncultured bacterium. RNAcentral describes it as "partial 16S ribosomal RNA". It matches the Rfam family "Bacterial small subunit ribosomal RNA", at positions 29 to 507 of the family's 1533-position model. The record is from RNAcentral.
AGUGAACGCUGGCGGUAGGCCUAACACAUGCAGGUCGAACGGCAGCACAGUAAGAGCUUGCUCUUACGGGUGGCGAGUGGCGGACGGGUGAGGAAUACAUCGGAAUCUACUUUUUCGUGGGGGAUAACGUAGGGAAACUUACGCUAAUACCGCAUACGACCUACGGGUGAAAGCAGGGGAUCUUCGGACCUUGCGCGAUUGAAUGAGCCGAUGUCGGAUUAGCUAGUUGGCGGGGUAAAGGCCCACCAAGGCGACGAUCCGUAGCUGGUCGGAGAGGAUGAUCGGCCACACUGGAACUGAGACACGGUCCAGACUCCUACGGGAGGCAGCAGUGGGGAAUAUUGGACAAUGGGCGCAAGCCUGAUCCAGCCAUACCGCGUGGGUGAAGAAGGCCUUCGGGUUGUAAAGCCCUUUUGUUGGGAAAGAAAAGCAGCAGGUUAAUACCCCGCUGUUCUGACGGUACCCAAAGAAUAAGCACCGGCUAACUUCGUG